AUGGAGCCCGCGGAGAUGGACCGCAUCGCCGCCCGGCUCUCCGCCGUGGAUGGCCUCUACUUCCCCACGGCCUUCCUCCGCGCCUCGCCGCCGCCGCCGGCGCGCAAGUCGGCCCUCCUCGACCUCCUCUCCCGCGACGCCCCGCUCUUCCUCGAGCGGUACGGCGCCGCGCUGCGCCCGGACGAGCUGGCCCCCUUCGACGCGCUCCGGGACGACUACGAGGUGGGGUGGCACCUCCGCCGCGUCCGCGCCGCGGCCGCCGGGGAGACCCCCGCCCCCGCGCGCGUGCGCAACCGGCGCCGCGCCUACCUCCACCGCCUGGUGACCCAGGGGGACUACUUCUCCGAGGAGGCGAUGCGGGAGCGGGAGCCGUACCUGCACCACGAGUACCUCGGCAGGUUCCAGGACCCCUUCGGGCGGGCCAUGGUGCGGCCCGGGGAGAAGUUCUCCGAGACGCUGAUGCGGCGGGCAGAGGAGGCCGUCAUCGUGGAGAAGAUCCGCGGGGAGCAGAUCAGGAGGGGUGUUGACCCCAGCGAGUGGGUCGGCGGUCCCGUUGAGCGACCGGUGAUGGGGCAGGAGGAGGAGGAGGAGGAGGAGGAGGAGGAGGAGGAAGAGGAAGAGGAAGAAGAGGAUGAAGAGAACAUCGGCAUGGAGGAGAACACCGAGAAUCUUAGUUCGACUGAGGUGGUUGCACACGACGAUAACGGUGGUUGCCCCAACGAGACUGCAGCCCCCCCUGCAGGGACUUUCAAGCCAAUAUUAUCCCCUGAGGAGAUGGAGGAUCAGCUGGAGCAGUUCACCUCGGUGAUGCAGGAGAAGUUCCUGUCAGGCCAGGACUCGGAGCACAUGGAUUACCCCCAGAUCGACAACGACGAGAUGCUGGACGACCACUGGUCCAGGGAGGCCAACUACGACGCAGAGGACAAGUACUUCAACGAAGAUUAG
RNAcentral lists this ribosomal RNA (945 nucleotides) under Triticum aestivum (bread wheat). RNAcentral's name for it is "partial small subunit ribosomal RNA". The record is from RNAcentral. Lineage: Eukaryota; Viridiplantae; Streptophyta; Magnoliopsida; Poales; Poaceae.